RNAcentral lists this unclassified non-coding RNA (112 nucleotides) under soil metagenome. RNAcentral's name for it is "partial internal transcribed spacer 1". The record is from RNAcentral.
UAAAAUUUUUCAUAUUAAAUUUAUUUUAAUAUAAAAUUUAUACAAAAAUGUAUUCGAAACCCACACACUUUAUAACCAUAAAAAAACAUUAUAUCUUUAUAAUAUAAAAAAA